Molecule: long non-coding RNA, 242 nt
Organism: Drosophila willistoni
Lineage: Eukaryota; Metazoa; Arthropoda; Insecta; Diptera; Drosophilidae
Exons: 2
Source: RefSeq, a predicted model, not a curated record
UCGUUUGGACAGUUUUUGUGACAUCUUUUAAACCGCUUAUUGUCACCUUUGUUCAUUAUCAUAAACAAAGACUCUGUGAACUAAUUAAGAUCAGAACUGAAGCUUAAAGGAAUCCGUUUUUUUUGAGAAGACAAGGGCCUAACAAGGAGAUAUAAUUAAAUUACCUUCGAAAUGACGAAAAGUUAUCAAAACCAAAUAUUAUAGUAACAUAUUAUAAAUAUAGCAAAGAUCAAAUCAUUUUA